Molecule: non-coding RNA, 31 nt
Filed under: Mus musculus (house mouse)
Lineage: Eukaryota; Metazoa; Chordata; Mammalia; Rodentia; Muridae
Source: RNAcentral
CAGUGUCAUCUGAAAAACAGUAAGGGCUACU